This 495-nucleotide ribosomal RNA is filed under the name uncultured bacterium. RNAcentral's name for it is "partial 16S ribosomal RNA". It matches the Rfam family "Bacterial small subunit ribosomal RNA", at positions 28 to 505 of the family's 1533-position model. The record is from RNAcentral.
GAUGAACGCUGGCGGCGUGCCUAAUACAUGCAAGUCGAGCGAACAGACGAGGAGCUUGCUCCUCUGACGUUAGCGGCGGACGGGUGAGUAACACGUGGAUAACCUACCUAUAAGACUGGGAUAACUUCGGGAAACCGGAGCUAAUACCGGAUAAUAUAUUGAACCGCAUGGUUCAAUAGUGAAAGACGGUUUUGCUGUCACUUAUAGAUGGAUCCGCGCCGCAUUAGCUAGUUGGUAAGGUAACGGCUUACCAAGGCGACGAUGCGUAGCCGACCUGAGAGGGUGAUCGGCCACACUGGAACUGAGACACGGUCCAGACUCCUACGGGAGGCAGCAGUAGGGAAUCUUCCGCAAUGGGCGAAAGCCUGACGGAGCAACGCCGCGUGAGUGAUGAAGGUCUUCGGAUCGUAAAACUCUGUUAUUAGGGAAGAACAAAUGUGUAAGUAACUAUGCACGUCUUGACGGUACCGAAUCAGAAAGCCACGGCUAACUACG